UUUAUUAAGUAUAUCAAAAACAAAUAAAAAUAAAGAAAAAAACUAUUUCACUCUCAUCCUUCUUCUCUUUCUCUCUCUCGAAGGCCUUAGAAGCUAAGGAAAAAACAUCACUUUUCUAAAUUUCUUGCAUCGUUCAGCCAAGGAACCUUGCUCAAGGAUAGAAUUAAGAGAAGAAUACUAAGGCUUGAGAUCGUCAGGUAUUAUUCCACUCAAGUUGGCCCACACACUUAAACUUGGACUUAAGGUAAGGAAAAAGGAAAAAUGGAUCAACCAUGAGUCAGAGGUCUCCCGACGAAUAUACAUAUCAACCUCGUUGUAUUUUGUGCUUAGUUGACAGGAUCUGACUUUUGUAGUAUUUUGAAUAUGUAUUAAUAUUUUGUAAUAAAAUAAUUAAUACAGUGAUAUUUUAGUAAA
Molecule: long non-coding RNA, 414 nt
Organism: Cannabis sativa
Lineage: Eukaryota; Viridiplantae; Streptophyta; Magnoliopsida; Rosales; Cannabaceae
Exons: 3
Source: RefSeq, a predicted model, not a curated record